This 1728-nucleotide long non-coding RNA is filed under the name Triticum aestivum (bread wheat). RNAcentral describes it as "long non-coding RNA (TAES_LNC012056)". Lineage: Eukaryota; Viridiplantae; Streptophyta; Magnoliopsida; Poales; Poaceae. The record is from RNAcentral.
AAGAAGGAUAAAGGUUUGGGUCUAGUAUAUCAGAUUUGAGUCCAUAAGAAAACCAAAAUGUUACGCAUAAGUUGAAAGAACAUAGCAUGAUAAAACUUCUGCCUUUCAGGAAAAUCAUCACACACAUACCAUGCAAGCACCACAUGAGACAAUCAAGCCAUAUACCAUGAUUACGAUAUAAGUCCAAGAAAGCUUCCAAAUACAACUUCCUGCUUAUUCAGCGAGGAUUCAAAACUGUCAAGUUGCAAAAACAUAGGUUAUGGUAUAUUCCUUGUUUGAUGCAAUUGCUAAAAAGAUGAAAGGUCUGCCAAACAUACAUUGGUUAAAUCAACUCGGAUGAUUCUGACGACGACCGCGGUAUGACCGUCUGAGCGGUUCCAUCGGACAGCAAGGAUGGGCACCCAUGGCAAUGCCAGCGUCGGCGGUGGCAGGCUCCUCUCCUUGAAGAGCUGGACGUCGGGAUUUUCUCACGAAAUAUGCACCUAAUUGAACAUGAAUCGAACUUGAAAAGAUCCAUCACACACAUACUGUUCCAUGAAAGACAUAUUUAUUUAAAGUAAGCUGAUAUGAAUAAAUAGCACUUAUUAUUGCCAUUCUGGUUGUUCAUGCAAGUGGUUGUAUCUACAACACAUUACUACCUUUAUCGAAUUUAGGGCAACAACUGAAAUCAUUUUUACUAAGCUGGUCCAAUAAGAAGAAAGACUUAAUAAUGACAUAUGACUUUGCCAUAAACUUAACAGUCUUCUUAUCUCUACUUAUGACUAAUGAAGAUCGGUUUCCCUGCAAGUAUUAAGAUUGUACCAGAACUGAAUUAGUCAUUUUGGUGCUAACAAAUAAGCAUAGAAUUUAGUAAUGUACAAAUGAUUCAGGAGUCAGGACACACUUGUGGAGAAUAAAUUACUGAAGCAAGUUCUGGUUGUUGUUUCUUCAUAUCAAUUUUGUGAGUCUUUUUCUCAAACAUGCAUCUUGUAUUAGAAGACCGCCAAGAAGGGAAGCAAAAUAAAGAAAUUAAGCAGAGUAUUAUCUAUGUAAUCCUCCAUAGCAUAUUUAAAUCAAGCAAGCCACCUAACAUAGCAAAGGAUACCAUUAAAAAUAGCUACAAACAAUCUCAUCCGCCUUUCAUUAUAAGGAUACAAGCCCGACAUGUCUCCAAAUUGCUGAGAAAAGGCUAAAUAGUAAUCUGAGAUUCUGACCAGUAAGUUUACUGGCUCAAGCAUCUAAGCCUAGACCAUUACUUAGCAUGAAUUACUGGCUAAGGGUAAUCACGAAUAGGCAUACACAAAGGAGGAUUACAUGCGCGAAACCACAUGUGCUAUCAUUUCAUAGGCAUACACACGAACACCUGCUGUGCUAGAACGAACAUGGCAAUGUAUGUGACUGAAAUCAGAAGACAACUGAAGAAGAUUGUAUCAAGCAAGAUAAAAGAUGCACCCCCAAUUUAACUCACCUAUGUUUGAUCCAUUUUGGCUAGCUCCAGCGACAGUGGCAGAAGCAGGAAGGAGAAACACGGUGGCGGCAGCAGCAACGACAGAGGAGAGACCGUGUUGCAACGACAUGGAAGAGAGAUAGUAGAACCGGGCGCUACGCCAGCUGGGGGAGAGGACUUACCAGCACAGCGACGGUCUUGGUGCCUGCGAUAGCACCGAAGGCCAUCAGCGGCGCGCUCGGGUGAGCCGGCGGCGACACACUGGGAAUAGGCGGAAGAGCGCGCUCCAGACGCGCGGUGGC